Long non-coding RNA from Engraulis encrasicolus (European anchovy), 585 nucleotides. RefSeq lists it as uncharacterized. The transcript has 3 exons. The record is from RefSeq and is a predicted model, not a curated record. NCBI's taxonomy places the organism in Eukaryota, Metazoa, Chordata, Actinopteri, Clupeiformes, Engraulidae.
AGAUUUUAUACAGUUUAAGUUUUUCCAGUGACCUGCCGAAAACAAAAAUUCAAAUUUUCCUCGCAUUCUUUUUUUAAUAACCAAGACAGUGACGUACGCACAGGGAGUCGAUACAAUGUAGAGCACUACUCGUUGCUGGGCUACAAUGAUCAGCGAGUCGGAAAAGUGCUGGGCUAUUGGACAGCGAUUCAGAAAACAAAUCAGUUUUGAGUUUAUUAUUCAGAUACACCAACGAGUCAGACUUGCAUGUCAUUUUGGUGGCAUCUGAAACAGAUUACAAAUGUAAUUUUAGAGCUAGACCAUCUUUAAAUGUCGUAGGACAGGUACGAAGCCGAAGCCACCUGUCGAUGAUGCUGCAGCCGCGGCUGCCUCAGAUGUGGAGGACGACAUGUCGAUGGACUCGUACAGAAUAUUUUGGAGAACUGCCAGUCAGCUACAAUCGCGAGCCUGACCUACUCCUGCCUGUUCAAGCUCAGAGUCAGACCAUCACAUGGACCAGUGAUUUCCAGCACGGAGUCAUCCCGAGAUGAGUUUUCUCUCAGUUCAGCUGCAGUCCAGUUCUGUUUGACAAGAGGUGGUUAACCC